ACGGCAAUGGUCUAGUGGUAUGAUACGAGCUUCCCAAGCUUGUGCCCCGGGUUCAAUUCAAGGAGGCUCCUUUGAGAUGCAAAGGAGUCUUCAGGUGAAAAUCCCGGUUGCCGUA
This 115-nucleotide transfer RNA is filed under the name archaeon. RNAcentral describes it as "tRNA-Gly". It matches the Rfam family "tRNA". Rfam says of the family: Transfer RNA (tRNA) molecules are approximately 80 nucleotides in length. Their secondary structure includes four short double-helical elements and three loops (D, anti-codon, and T loops). Further hydrogen bonds mediate the characteristic L-shaped molecular structure. tRNAs have two regions of fundamental functional importance: the anti-codon, which is responsible for specific mRNA codon recognition, and the 3' end, to which the tRNAs corresponding amino acid is attached (by aminoacyl-tRNA synthetases). tRNAs cope with the degeneracy of the genetic code in two manners: having more than one tRNA (with a specific anti-codon) for a particular amino acid; and 'wobble' base-pairing, i.e. permitting non-standard base-pairing at the 3rd anti-codon position. RNAcentral also lists the same sequence under 1 other name. The record is from RNAcentral.